Non-coding RNA from Megalops atlanticus (tarpon), 82 nucleotides. Lineage: Eukaryota; Metazoa; Chordata; Actinopteri; Elopiformes; Megalopidae. The record is from the annotation of a GenBank genome assembly.
GAGGAAGUGACCGAGUGGUUAAGGUGAUGGCCUGCUAAUCCAUUGUGCUUCGCAUGCAUGUGUUUGAAUCCCAUCCUCGUUA